This is a non-coding RNA of Neopestalotiopsis sp. 37M, 71 nucleotides long. NCBI's taxonomy places the organism in Eukaryota, Fungi, Ascomycota, Sordariomycetes, Amphisphaeriales, Sporocadaceae. The record is from the annotation of a GenBank genome assembly.
GUUGCUUUAGUUCAAUGGUAGAACAUAUCAUUGUGGAUGAUAUUGUCACAGUUCGAUUCUGUGAAGUGAUC